RNAcentral lists this long non-coding RNA (1217 nucleotides) under Homo sapiens (human). Its description in RNAcentral is "HSALNT0172653". The record is from RNAcentral. Lineage: Eukaryota; Metazoa; Chordata; Mammalia; Primates; Hominidae.
GUUAGAUAAAACUUCUCAGUUCUAACACAAACUUUAUUCAGAUCCAAUUAUUUUGGUAGGAAAGGGGGCAUGUUAAAGCAUGUCUGGGGGCCCUGAGCUAGGCCUGGGAUGAGGAUGGGCUUAGGGAGCAGGCCUGAGUUUAAGGAGGGCAGGAAUCCAGGUGCCAGAACUUAGGCACUGUCUCCAUCUCAGCACCAGAGGUCUGAGGCCCUGCAGGAUGGAUGGCUGAGACAUUGCUGCUGGGAAGGAGCUUGUGGGGGGUCUUGCGCCCCAGAGGUGUGUCUGCAGAAGGAACUUGAGCAGCAGGUCCCAAGGAAGGUGGAAGCUCUUCCCAAAACCCCUAAACACACUAAGAAUAUGGAGGUGUCCCAUAGACAGUCUGGUUACAGAGAUACUCCGAAUAUGGGCUAAGGUCCUGGACAGUGACACAUGGUCCACAUAGGGUGAUAACAGGGAUUGUCAUAUCAGAGAGACACCCCCAGACCCCCCGGACCACACCAUCACACAGUGACAAGAGCUCACAGGGCACACAAUCAAGUGUUCCCCCGCCCCCACUGCCCCUGGGGCAGCCUCACUCCUGGGACCCCCUGGAGCUGGGCGCAGCCGGUGGCCGUCAGCGCCAGCGGCAGGGCCCCCCGCGGCACACGUGCACUCGCCGCCCGCAGCCGCACCCCGCGCACACGCCGGCGGGGCUAACGAGCCCACAGGCCUCCAGGGCGGGAUGAAGCCAGUUGUCGGGCGGGGCCGCGGCGGUCACACAGCAUUAGCCCUGCGGCCGCCCCGCCAGGCCCGCUGGAGUCACAAGCCCCAUCCCAGACUCUCCAACGCUGGACCUGCAGCGCCCAGCCCUGCCCUGGUGCUACCACCUGCCAGCUCUGUGCCUGCCCCUCCACUAGAUCAUGACUUCGGCUCCAGCUCCCUCACUCUCCAUGCCUCUCACUUGCGGGUUGUGCCCUGCUCAGCUGGCCAGACUUUGGCCCCCUCCCUACCUGGAUUUGUGAAGCCCCAAAUUUCAUCUCCCCCACCACACUUAUUCACAGCCUCCGCCUGCUGACAUACCCAGGCAAGACUCCCUUCCCCUCCAGGCAGCCAAACUUCAGUUCGAAUCUUCUGGCUCUUACCAGACCCCUGAUGAAUCCCAGGAUCUUCGCAGGUGGUCCCAGGGCCUCUUUGAACCACAGUUUUACUUAUCUGAAAAAUAAAAAGGCAUGAUUUAG